This is a long non-coding RNA of Fukomys damarensis (Damara mole-rat), 422 nucleotides long. RefSeq lists it as uncharacterized. NCBI's taxonomy places the organism in Eukaryota, Metazoa, Chordata, Mammalia, Rodentia, Bathyergidae. The transcript is spliced from 2 exons. The record is from RefSeq and is a predicted model, not a curated record.
UAGAAUGUCACCAAGUGUGCAAAUGUCACAGGGAUGGAGUCUGCUCUACAGUCUCUGUGUGCUGGUGGAGAUGCCCUUGGGGUUUUAAUGUCAGUGAGGAGGACAGUUGUCUACUGACCGGCACCUGUUCAAGCUUUCCCCAAGUGGGAAACUUCAGUGAUGACAGAGGAACCUUUGUGAAAGUCUAGGAAAGGAUGGCUAUUGGUGCUUUACUCACCACUCCAUCACCCAGAUCCCUGAGAGGAAGGUGAAAACACACCACCCUGACACUUCCUGGUGCCUGGAUGUGUGGACCAGGGCCUGCAGGUCCAUGCCGAAGUCAAUGAACUCCCACUCGAUGCCCUCCUUCUUGUACUCCUCCUGCUCCAGCACAAACAUGUGGUGGUUGAAGAACUGCUGCAGCUUCUCGUUGGUGAAGUUGA